AGUGAACGCUGGCGGUAGGCCUAACACAUGCAAGUCGAACGGCAGCACAGUAAGGGCUUGCUCUUACGGGUGGCGAGUGGCGGACGGGUGAGGAAUACAUCGGAAUCUACUUUUUCGUGGGGGAUAACGUAGGGAAACUUACGCUAAUACCGCAUACGACCUACGGGUGAAAGCAGGGGAUCUUCGGACCUUGCGCGAUUGAAUGAGCCGAUGUCGGAUUAGCUAGUUGGCGGGGUAAAGGCCCACCAAGGCGACGAUCCGUAGCUGGUCUGAGAGGAUGAUCAGCCACAAUGGAACUGAGACACGGUCCAGACUCCUACGGGAGGCAGCAGUGGGGAAUAUUGGACAAUGGGCGCAAGCCUGAUCCAGCCAUACCGCGUGGGUGAAGAAGGCCUUCGGGUUGUAAAGCCCUUUUGUUGGGAAAGAAAAGCAGCAGGUUAAUACCCCGCUGUUCUGACGGUGCCCAAAGAAUAAGCACCGGCUAACUUCGUG
This 492-nucleotide ribosomal RNA is filed under the name uncultured bacterium. RNAcentral's name for it is "partial 16S ribosomal RNA". It matches the Rfam family "Bacterial small subunit ribosomal RNA", at positions 29 to 507 of the family's 1533-position model. The record is from RNAcentral.